Molecule: transfer RNA, 64 nt
Filed under: Sinotaia quadrata
Lineage: Eukaryota; Metazoa; Mollusca; Gastropoda; Architaenioglossa; Viviparidae
Description: tRNA-Gly
Source: RNAcentral
GCAUUAUCAGUAUUGACUACGCUAGCCUUCCAAGCUAGAAUUUUAAUUAAUUUUAAAUAAUGCA